This 207-nucleotide ribosomal RNA is filed under the name uncultured bacterium. Its description in RNAcentral is "partial 16S ribosomal RNA". It matches the Rfam family "Bacterial small subunit ribosomal RNA", at positions 568 to 774 of the family's 1533-position model. The record is from RNAcentral.
CGUGUAGGCGGGUGCUUAAGUCAGUGGUGAAAUACCGAGGCUCAACUUCGGGGCUGCCAUUGAAACUGGGCAUCUUGAGUGCGGGAGAGGAAAGCGGAAUUCCUAGUGUAGCGGUGAAAUGCGUAGAUAUUAGGAGGAACACCAGUGGCGAAGGCGGCUUUCUGGACCGUAACUGACGCUGAGGCGCGAAAGCGUGGGGAGCAAACA